GCUCGGACACCCGUCAGAAUCGCAUCUGUCUUUAGAAGCAUGUGAUAGUAUGUUUUUUUAGGUCUCGUUAUCAGCUGUGUCGACAGCUAUAUGUAGCAGUGUUUCUUUACAGUGGAUAAGGACUUGUGCCGAUUCAAAGGCAGGCAGAGGCUUCCAGCCACAGGAUUCUCGGGCAUCCGUCUCUGCGGUUCUUGGAAAAAGUUGUUCCUUUCCCAUCUUUUUCCUCCAGGGUCAUCUGAGCCUGGCAGGCUCGCCUUCGGUCCCUCUUCAGUCAUCUCGUUCAGCAUUCUCUCGGUCCUCGUGAGGACUUUCUUGUCUCAGAGUUUUCUCUCCCUGUCCUGUCCCCUCGUGUCACGGGUGUCUGGGGGUAUUUGGUCUGGAGCUGCUCUGCCCUGCCGCCCAGCCCGGUUGUAGGUGUUUAAGGAUAAGUCCCGGGCACUUGUAAUCAGAGACUUGUAGUACAGGCUGUAGUUGGAGUCUAGGUGGUAUUCUUAUGUUGGCAGAAGGUGUUUGGAGCUGUGAAGUUACCCUGCAGCACUUUGACUUUUUUCCUAACUUUCUUUCAGAGGCAGACGGAUUGACCUCGUGGCAGAGCGCCGCAUCCCAGAUGAGGGGGUCCCCCUGAGAAGGAAGUAAAGCCAGAAAUCAGCAGGGAAGGCGAAGCAGGUGGAAGGCUGCCUCCUGAUGCUGUGCUGAGACCCCCUCACUGACCUGCCAGGAGACCCGGUUUGCUUCUCUGGUGAGCCCCAGCAAAUAAUAGCGGAGUCCGUGACGGAGCCUCGACCUCGUCCACGUGUCGGUGCGGUCCGGGUACCCUUUAGGUGCGGCCGAGG
Non-coding RNA from Cyanistes caeruleus (blue tit), 833 nucleotides. The record is from RefSeq and is a predicted model, not a curated record. Lineage: Eukaryota; Metazoa; Chordata; Aves; Passeriformes; Paridae.